GUUAGUGGCGGACGGGUGAGUAACGCGUGGAGAACCUGCCGUAUACUGGGGGAUAACACUUAGAAAUAGGUGCUAAUACCGCAUAAGCGCACAGCUUCGCAUGAAGCAGUGUGAAAAACUCCGGUGGUAUACGAUGGAUCCGCGUCUGAUUAGCUGGUUGGCGGGGUAACAGCCCACCAAGGCGACGAUCAGUAGCCGGCCUGAGAGGGUGAACGGCCACAUUGGGACUGAGACACGGCCCAAACUCCUACGGGAGGCAGCAGUGGGGAAUAUUGCACAAUGGGGGAAACCCUGAUGCAGCGACGCCGCGUGAGUGAAGAAGUAUUUCGGUAUGUAAAGCUCUAUCAGCAGGGAAGAAAAUGACGGUACCUGACUAAGAAGCCCCGGCUAACUACGUGCCAGCAGCCGCGGUAAUACGUAGGGGGCAAGCGUUAUCCGGAUUUACUGGGUGUAAAGGGAGCGUAGACGGCAGCGCAAGUCUGAAGUGAAAUCCCAUGGCUUAACCAUGGAACUGCUUUGGAAACUGUGCAGCUGGAGUGCAGGAGAGGUAAGCGGAAUUCCUAGUGUAGCGGUGAAAUGCGUAGAUAUUAGGAGGAACACCAGUGGCGAAGGCGGCUUAUUGGACUGUAACUGACGUUGAGGCUCGAAAGCGUGGGGAGCAAACAG
Molecule: ribosomal RNA, 666 nt
Filed under: uncultured bacterium
Lineage: Bacteria
Description: bacterial SSU rRNA
Rfam family: Bacterial small subunit ribosomal RNA
Source: RNAcentral